AAGGUUGAACGUGGUCAUUAGAACUAGGAAGCUUCCUGCACCGAUGUGAUAGAGACCAUCCACGGGGCUGGCAAGUGUCAGGUUAAUAAGGCAGUUGUUGGACAGCACUUUGGAAAUGUUAAAUGUUAAGUACUAAUUCCCUGACAGAGGACAUGGAAGAUGCCAAACUGAUGCUAUACCUUAUUUUGACUGAGAAGAAACUUCAUUUGUCGUUUUAUUUAAUCAUUUAUAUUCAGUAUCUUUGAAUUCCAUUAACCUCUGGGAACAUUGGCAGAAGGAAAAGGAGAUAUACAUAUUUUUAUUUUUUUACUGUUUCUUGUGCCAUUUUUUUUUUUUCUGUGCAGAGAUGUAGUUGUACUAAAGCAGCAGCAUGGUAUUACUCGUAUUCCCCUGCAAGUGGUACACUCUGUACUUGAUGUAGAAUUGCUCCAAGUCACCAGCAGCACAGUCUGAGAAUGGGAGCUUGGCAUUUGUCAUUGGUGAUAACACAUCUCUAACGUGAGGAAAAUUGAGAUCCAAGGUGUAUCUAAAGAAAGAGAGGACUAUUUGAACCAGAAAAUGAAGCAACAUGAGGAGGAUGACAAUGAGGAAUUCAAUAUAUUAAUUUCUUUCUGAUUUUAUAUGAAAGAGAGAAGUGAUGGUCCUGCAGCUAGUGGGAUUUUGCAACCAGGGGCUGUUUUCCUAGCUUUCCCACAGGCUUCCUCAGUGACCUCAGGUGUCCUGGUUGUCUGCUGGUACUGUUAAAAUGGGUGCCUGGGAGGAGAUGUCCCUCUGAGCACUGUCGCCAAGGUUGUCAGAAGACACUGGGAAGCUCACUGAAAAGCACCAUGCAAAAGCAUGUUUGCAAAGACGCCGUAAGAGAUGAAAACUCUGCUCCGGCAAGUGCUGCACAAGCUGGCACCGGGACUCAGCCGCACCCCCAGGGCCGUGUGCCGCUGCGCGACCCCUCGGGACAGCCCCUGUCUGGGACAGCCCGGUCAAAACUGGGACAUACGAUCCCAGGUACCUGCUUCGCUGCUGCUCGGGCCCCUGAACGCUGUGCUUCGCCCUGCGGAGGUGAGAACCCGCUCGAGCAGAGUGAGGGAAAAUGGAUUUGUUAAGAUUUGUGGUAUUUAAGUUGCUGGGUAUUUAAUGUCUGUAACUAUUCAUUUUUGAGACUGUACAUACAUUAUAUAUAUAUAUACACACACAUACUCUACAUACACACACACACAUACAGAUAUAAAUAUGUGUGUAUGUGGAUACACAGGGUUUCAUGAGGCUGUGAGACCCCCCACUAUCCCACUGUCCCCCCCGGACAAGGCCCGCGGGGGGCAGAGGCACUCCUUGGGCUGCCCCCGUUAGAUGUCAGUGGGAACGAAGCUCCCGAUGCGGGGCUGAGGAGCCCAAAUCUCUCCAGAAAUGAGACUCAGGUUUAAAACAUGGGAAGGUGUUGCAGGCCCAGAUCAACCCUUCUCACCCAGGGAAGAGCUGAGAAAGGUUUGCCUUGGCCUGCGCCCCCUUAGCUUUGGGGUCUGCCUGGUCCCCCAGCUGCCCCUCGGCCCUGGGCU
Long non-coding RNA from Bubo bubo (Eurasian eagle-owl), 1550 nucleotides. NCBI's taxonomy places the organism in Eukaryota, Metazoa, Chordata, Aves, Strigiformes, Strigidae. The record is from Ensembl.